AAUGCAGUUGUUGGGUCAUAUGGCAAGAGGAUGCUUAAUUUUGCAAAAAAGUGCCAAACUGUCUUUCAAAGGGGCUGUACCAUUUUGCAGUCCCACUAGCAAU
This 103-nucleotide microRNA precursor is filed under the name Marmota monax (woodchuck). The record is from RNAcentral. Lineage: Eukaryota; Metazoa; Chordata; Mammalia; Rodentia; Sciuridae.